RNAcentral lists this ribosomal RNA (721 nucleotides) under Hymenopellis raphanipes. RNAcentral's name for it is "partial large subunit ribosomal RNA". It matches the Rfam family "Eukaryotic large subunit ribosomal RNA", at positions 151 to 864 of the family's 3401-position model. The record is from RNAcentral. Lineage: Eukaryota; Fungi; Basidiomycota; Agaricomycetes; Agaricales; Physalacriaceae.
AGAAGUGUUACCCUUGCUGGACCGUGUACAAGUUUCCUGGAACGGAACGUCAUAGAGGGUGAGAAUCCCGUCUUUGACACGGACUCCCAGCAUGCUGUGGUACGCUCUCGAAGAGUCGUGUUGUUUGGGAAUGCAGCACUAAAUGGGUGGUAAAUUCCAUCUAAAGCUAAAUAUUGGCGAGAGACCGAUAGCAAACAAGUACCGUGAGGGAAAGAUGAAAAGAACUUUGGAAAGAGAGUUAAACAGUACGUGAAAUUGUUGAAAGGGAAACGCUUGAAGUCUAGUCGCGUCGGUUGGAAAUCAGUCUUGCUUCUGCUUGAUGUACUUUCUAAUCGACGGGUCAGCAUCAGUUUUGACCGUUGGAUAAAGGUUGGGGGAAUGUGGCAUCCUCGGAUGUGUUAUAGCCUCUGAUUGCAUACAACGGUUGGGACUGAGGAACUCAGCACGCCGCAAGGCCGGGUACUCGUACCACGUUCGUGCUUAGGAUGCUGGCAUAAUAGCUUUAAUCGACCCGUCUUGAAACACGGACCAAGGAGUCUAACAUGCCUGCGAGUGUUUGGGUGGAAAACCCGAGCGCGCAAUGAAAGUGAAAGUUGAGAACUCAUCAGAGUGCAUCGACGCCCGGACCAGACGUUUUCUGACGGCUCCGCGGUAGAGCAUGUAUGUUGGGACCCGAAAGAUGGUGAACUAUGCCUGAAUAGGGUGAAGCCAGAGGAAACUC